CACCGCGGUUAUACGAGAGGCCCAAGUUAAUAGACCACCGGCGUAAAGCGUGGUUAGAGAGAUUUUAAAUUAAAGUUAAAUGUUCGCAAAACUGUUAUACGCGAUCGAGAACUAGAAAACCCCCUACGAAAGUGACUUUAAACUGUUGAACCCACGAAAGCUAGGACA
This 168-nucleotide ribosomal RNA is filed under the name Blenniella bilitonensis (lined rockskipper). RNAcentral describes it as "partial 12S rRNA". The record is from RNAcentral. Lineage: Eukaryota; Metazoa; Chordata; Actinopteri; Blenniiformes; Blenniidae.